Molecule: ribosomal RNA, 253 nt
Filed under: uncultured bacterium
Lineage: Bacteria
Description: partial 16S ribosomal RNA
Rfam family: Bacterial small subunit ribosomal RNA
Source: RNAcentral
UACGUAGGCAGCAAGCGUUGUUCGGAGUUACUGGGCGUAAGGGUGUGUAGGCGGUUGGAUAAGUGUGGUGUGAAAUCUCCCCGGCUUAACUGGGAGGGUGCGCUACAAACUGUCUGACUAGAGUGUGGGAUGGGUAAGUGGAAUUCCUGGUGUAGCGGUGAAAUGCGUAGAGAUUAGGAAGAACACCAGUGGCGAAGGCGACUUACUGGACUGUAACUGACGCUGAGGCAUGAAAGCGUGGGGAGCAAACAGG